RNAcentral lists this ribosomal RNA (466 nucleotides) under uncultured bacterium. Its description in RNAcentral is "partial 16S ribosomal RNA". It matches the Rfam family "Bacterial small subunit ribosomal RNA", at positions 338 to 795 of the family's 1533-position model. The record is from RNAcentral.
CCUACGGGCGGCAGCAGUGGGGAAUCUUCCGCAAUGGGCGCAAGCCUGACGGAGCAAUGCCGCGUGAACGAAGAAGGUCUUCGGAUUGUAAAGUUCUGUCCUUAUCGAAGAGAGAGUAUAGAGUGAAAAAUGAUAUACUAGGACGGUAGAUGAGGAGGAAGCCCCGGCUAACUACGUGCCAGCAGCCGCGGUAAUACGUAGGUGGCAAGCGUUAUCCGGAUUUACUGGGUGUAAAGGGCGUGUAGGCGGGAGUGCAAGUCAGAUGUGAAAACUAUGGGCUCAACCCAUAGCCUGCAUUUGAAACUGUACUUCGUGAGUGCUGGAGAGGCAAUCGGAAUUCCGUGUGUAGCGGUGAAAUGCGUAGAUAUACGGAGGAACACCAGUGGCGAAGGCGGAUUGCUGGACAGUAACUGACGCUGAGGCGCGAAAGCGUGGGGAGCAAACAGGAUUAGAUACCCGGGUAGUC